UGGGGAAUAUUGCACAAUGGAGGGAACUCUGAUGCAGCGACGCCGCGUGAACGAAGAAGGCUUUCGAGUCGUAAAGUUCUUUUAUAUGGGAAGAUAAUGACGGUACCAUAAGAAAAAGCCCCGGCUAACUACGUGCCAGCAGCCGCGGUAAUACGUAGGGGGCUAGCGUUGUCCGGAAUCACUGGGCGUAAAGGGUUCGCAGGCGGAAAUGCAAGUCAGGUGUAAAAGGCAGCAGCUUAACUACUGUAAGCAUUUGAAACUGCAUAUCUUGAGAAGAGUAGAGGUAAGUGGAAUUUUUAGUGUAGCGGUGAAAUGCGUAGAUAUUAAAAAGAAUACCGGUGGCGAAGGCGACUUACUGGGCUCAUUCUGACGCUGAGGAACGAAAGCGUGGGUAGCAAACAGG
This 403-nucleotide ribosomal RNA is filed under the name Fusobacteriota bacterium. Its description in RNAcentral is "Fusobacteria bacterium partial 16S ribosomal RNA". It matches the Rfam family "Bacterial small subunit ribosomal RNA", at positions 355 to 776 of the family's 1533-position model. Lineage: Bacteria; Fusobacteriati; Fusobacteriota. The record is from RNAcentral.